GACGUAGGGCGCGAGCGUUGUCCGGAUUUAUUGGGCGUAAAGAGCUCGUAGGCGGCUUGUUACGUCGACUGUGAAAACCCGCGGCUCAACUGCGGCCUGCAGUCGAUACGGGCAGGCUAGAGUUCGGUAGGGGAGACUGGAAUUCCUGGUGUAGCGGUGAAAUGCGCAGAUAUCAGGAGGAACACCGGUGGCGAAGGCGGGUCUCUGGGCCGAUACUGACGCUGAGGAGCGAAAGCGUGGGGAGCGAACAGG
Molecule: ribosomal RNA, 252 nt
Filed under: uncultured bacterium
Lineage: Bacteria
Description: partial 16S ribosomal RNA
Rfam family: Bacterial small subunit ribosomal RNA
Source: RNAcentral